UACAGUUCUCAGGGCGGGGUGAAAUUCCCCACCGGCGGUAACGGGGCAUGCCCCCGAAGCCCGCGAGCGCAACGGGUUUCCAGCGGAAAUCCCUUGGUCAAGCAGAUCUGGUGUAAGUCCAGAGCCGACGGUCAAAGUCCGGAUGGAAGAGAGCGUAA
RNAcentral lists this non-coding RNA (158 nucleotides) under Roseovarius litorisediminis. RNAcentral describes it as "Pelagicola litorisediminis FMN sequence". It matches the Rfam family "FMN riboswitch aptamer (RFN element)". From Rfam's summary of the family: The RFN element is a highly conserved domain that is found frequently in the 5'-untranslated regions of prokaryotic mRNAs that encode for flavin mononucleotide (FMN) biosynthesis and transport proteins. This element is a metabolite-dependent riboswitch that directly binds FMN in the absence of proteins. In Bacillus subtilis, the riboswitch most likely controls gene expression by causing premature transcription termination within the 5' untranslated region of the ribDEAHT operon and precluding access to the ribosome-binding site of ypaA mRNA. The record is from Rfam by way of RNAcentral. Lineage: Bacteria; Pseudomonadati; Pseudomonadota; Alphaproteobacteria; Rhodobacterales; Roseobacteraceae.